AGGGGGGGUGAAUUGGAUUUUAAAAAUUUUAGGCUUAACUAAUUACUUGUAAAAAUUAUAUAUCAAAAGCUUGAUGAAUGAGGAGAGAGACUUUAGUUUGAGAUUAAUUACUUAAAACAAGAAUGCAAGGAUAUAAUGGAGAAUUAAAGAGAAACAAUAAAGCAUGCCACAAACACAAUGAUUUAUAGUGGUUCGGUGCCAACCUUGCACCUACAUCCACUCUCCAAGCUCCUACUUGGGAAUUCCAAUCCACUAUACUUUGUAUUCAA
Molecule: long non-coding RNA, 269 nt
Filed under: Elaeis guineensis (African oil palm)
Lineage: Eukaryota; Viridiplantae; Streptophyta; Magnoliopsida; Arecales; Arecaceae
Description: long non-coding RNA (EGUI_LNC050861)
Source: RNAcentral